Molecule: ribosomal RNA, 591 nt
Filed under: uncultured bacterium
Lineage: Bacteria
Description: bacterial SSU rRNA
Rfam family: Bacterial small subunit ribosomal RNA
Source: RNAcentral
AGUCGAGGGGCAGCGUGGAGCACAAUGCUCUGACGGCGACCGGCGGAAGGGUGCGUAACACGUGAGCGACUUGCCCGUCACAGGGGGAUAACCGGCGGAAACGGCGACUAAUACCCCAUAUGCUGCGAUGCUGCAUGGCAUUGCAAUGAAAGAUUCAUCGGUGGCGGAUAGGCUCGCGGGACAUUAGCUAGACGGCGGGGCAACGGCCCACCGUGGCGACGAUGUCUAGGGGUUCUGAGAGGAAGACCCCCCACACUGGGACUGAGACACGGCCCAGACUCCUACGGGAGGCAGCAGUGAGGAAUAUUGGUCAAUGGGCGGAAGCCUGAACCAGCCAUGCCGCGUGAAGGACUAAGGCCCUACGGGUCGUAAACUUCUUUAGACGCAGAGCAAUAAGGUCCACGUGUGGACCGAUGAGAGUAUGCGUAGAAUAAGCAUCGGCUAACUCCGCGCCAGCAGCCGCGGUAAUACGGGGGAUGCGAGCGUUAUCCGGAUUCAUUGGGUCUAAAGGGUGCGUAGGCGGCCGAGUAAGUUAGCGGUGAAAGACCGGGGCUCAACCCUGGAAGUGCCGUUGAUACUGUUUGGCUGGAA